AGUGAACGCUGGCGGUAGGCCUAACACAUGCAAGUCGAACGGCAGCACAGUAAGAGCUUGCUCUUACGGGUGGCGAGUGGCGGACGGGUGAGGAAUACAUCGGAAUCUACUUUUUCGUGGGGGAUAACGUAGGGAAACUUACGCUAAUACCGCAUACGACCUACGGGUGAAAGCAGGGGAUCUUCGGACCUUGCGCGAUUGAAUGAGCCGAUGUCGGAUUAGCUAGUUGGCGGGGUAAAGGCCCACCAAGGCGACGAUCCGUGGCUGGUCUGAGAGGAUGAUCAGCCACACUGGAACUGAGACACGGUCCAGACGCCUACGGGAGGCAGCAGUGGGGAAUAUUGGACAAUGGGCGCAAGCCUGAUCCAGCCAUACCGCGUGGGUGAAGAAGGCCUUCGGGUUGUAAAGCCCUUUUGUUGGGAAAGAAAAGCAGCAGGUUAAUACCCCGCUGUUCUGACGGUACCCAAAGAAUAAGCACCGGCUAACUUCGUG
This 492-nucleotide ribosomal RNA is filed under the name uncultured bacterium. Its description in RNAcentral is "partial 16S ribosomal RNA". It matches the Rfam family "Bacterial small subunit ribosomal RNA", at positions 29 to 507 of the family's 1533-position model. The record is from RNAcentral.